This 375-nucleotide long non-coding RNA is filed under the name Vigna radiata. Its description in RNAcentral is "long non-coding RNA (VRAD_LNC016513)". Lineage: Eukaryota; Viridiplantae; Streptophyta; Magnoliopsida; Fabales; Fabaceae. The record is from RNAcentral.
GGUAGGACGAUCAAUUGUAUUUUGCUUCCGUUCACAUUGGAUUAUUGGUUACUAGGGGAGGCUAGGGAUAACUAGCCGAUAAUUAAUAAUAGGCUCUUUUCACCAAGGGAUUGGGUUAAGGGUAGGCUAGAAAGUUUGCAUGGCAAUUGGAUAAACAAGUGAAGUAAAUAAGAAGAGUAGAUAUGUGAGAGUGGAUAAGAUGAAAUUGUAAACCCCAACAACACCAUUCAUCCAUAGUUUUUCCUCAACCAUUGAUUCACUGCAUUUGCAUGUUUAAUUCUAUUUUUCCAUUUAACAAUCAAAACUUUAUUCUUUUCUCAAGUCUUAUGAAAUUAGGUUACAUGAAAGUUAAGGCCUAAGAGUCCUUUGGGAAAC